ACUAUUUUGGCAGAAAAGUGCAGUAAAUUUAGAAUUUAUUUAUAUAGGCUAAUAUUCUAUAUUUAGUA
Molecule: transfer RNA, 68 nt
Filed under: Allacta transversa
Lineage: Eukaryota; Metazoa; Arthropoda; Insecta; Blattodea; Pseudophyllodromiidae
Description: tRNA-Leu
Rfam family: tRNA
About the family: Transfer RNA (tRNA) molecules are approximately 80 nucleotides in length.
Source: RNAcentral